Molecule: long non-coding RNA, 1626 nt
Organism: Puntigrus tetrazona (Sumatra barb)
Lineage: Eukaryota; Metazoa; Chordata; Actinopteri; Cypriniformes; Cyprinidae
Exons: 3
Source: RefSeq, a predicted model, not a curated record
UCAUCUGCCUACAAAAACCUGUUAUUACCACAAACCAAAACCGUAGGAGGUUUUAUUAAACAAUUUUGCAGAAGCUACAUGUCAUGGUGGGGUUUUUGUUUUUGACAAAAAGUCGGUGUUCUUUUUAUGCUAUAAGCAGGUCACAUUAAAAUGGGAACCUUUUAAAAAGCUUUUAGCAUUUAUUUCAGCACAAAAGUAUUUGUUAUACUAUGCAAUGCUACAAUAAUAAUAAAAAAAGCGCUAUAAAGUGCAGUAAUUCCACUUCUGGAGCAAAUUCUAGAACUGAAGGGUACUCUGGAGGACCGGGCAAUGAAGAGAACCUCCGCAGGCGCUGGUGCAGUUUAGGCAAAAAGGGCUUUAGUCAACUGAUGCUUGCCGUAUUUGAGACGUAUUUUCCACGAGCCAUGGCGUCACUGACUGGCUGAGGAUGACGGCUGUGCACUGGAGGACUUGGGGAUGUGCAGGUCUGGGCAAAGCUGUUAAAGUAAAAAGCCUAUAGCGAGAACACCAGAAAAAUAAAUCAACGAUGAAACAUCAACUGUGAUAUUAUUCCUGAUUAAAUGAAUGAAUUAUGGUUUUACUUUCUUGAUAAAAAUUUUAUUCUGUAAAAAUGCUGAACUAAUUUGAAUAGCUGUAAAGAUACUAUAGUUGCCAGAUUUGCAAAAUAAAGCCUAAUCAAAACUAGCCCAUUCAUGCCCCCCUAUAGUGGGUCUCCACCAUCAAAACAGCAAUCCAGGGGGACCACUUUAGCCUGCAGACUAAAAAACAAACAAGCAAAUAAAACAACUUAAAGCAAAAGUGUCAAAGUACUCCUAUUUACUUGGCAACGCUGUAAGAUGAUUUAUAUUUGACUGCCAGAAUAUGUUGUUACAACAUCUACCAGCAGGUGCCAGUGAUCUCAACCGGUAAAAUCAUAUGGGAGUGUAUAUGAAAAGCACAUCAUUAUUGUAACACGUUUUACAUUGCUGUUACAUCAGUAAUGUUUUCACCUACAGUAACAGUUUAGAUUCUCUACGCUACUGUGUGCCAAUAUGAAAGAUGCCAUCAUAUUUCUUGUUAUGCUCAGUUGCUCAGAUUACUGUCACAGUAACAAAGUCGACCAGACUCCAUCUGAUGUGAUUCAGAAACCAGGAGAAUCUGCAAAGAUCCAGUGUUUACACAACAUACCCAAUUAUGAUCAAAUCAACUUUUACAGACAAGACCGGGACCACGGCUUCACGUUAAUGGGAUAUUUGGUUGGAAAACAACCGUUCAAAGAAAAUGAUUUCAAAGAUAAAAUAGAAAUGUCUGGUGAUGGAAAUGGAGAUGGAUAUUUGACAAUUAACAGUCUGAAAUUUAAUGACAAGGCAGUGUAUUUUUGUGCUGCAAGCUACACAGUGUUUUAGAUCCCUGCUCUUCAUUACAAAAAACGUCUCUUUGAUUUUGCAUGUAAUAGAUAAAAGGUAUUCACACCUGCUUGUGUGGUAUUUCAGGCAUGCUAUUAUGAAAACAACAAUCAACUAAUGAGAAGAUUCUGUCAGAUACUAUCAAAACCAGUAGGUGUCUCUUUUGAACUGGAACUAAGUGAAGACAUAUUUAUCAAAGAAGAGAGAGCAUUGUUUUUAUUCUGAGAGCACUGAAGCAUCG